AGGAGGAACAACCGCAGUGGCGGGGCCAGCUUUGCAGCCCUGGAGUCAGCCCCCGCAGUAGCUCCGGAGCUCUCCGUCUGCAGGGCCUGGAGGCUCCGGGGCGGG
This is a non-coding RNA of Canis lupus familiaris (dog), 105 nucleotides long. NCBI's taxonomy places the organism in Eukaryota, Metazoa, Chordata, Mammalia, Carnivora, Canidae. The record is from Rfam.